GGGGGGGACUAUCUACGGUACUGUCAUUAUCAUCCCGGGUAAAAGAGCUUUACAACCCUAGGGCCUUCAUCACUCACGCGGCAUUGCUGGAUCAGGCUUUCGCCCAUUGUCCAAUAUUCCCCACUGCUGCCUCCCGUAGGAGUCCCCCCGUGCCCCCGCCCCGCCCGCCGCGCGCGGCGGGGGGGGGGGGGGCACGGGGGGA
This 202-nucleotide ribosomal RNA is filed under the name uncultured Sphingopyxis sp. RNAcentral describes it as "partial 16S ribosomal RNA". Lineage: Bacteria; Pseudomonadati; Pseudomonadota; Alphaproteobacteria; Sphingomonadales; Sphingopyxidaceae. The record is from RNAcentral.